UACGUAGGGGGCAAGCGUUGUCCGGAUUUAUUGGGCGUAAAGAGCGUGUAGGCGGCCAGACAGGUCCGUUGUGAAAACUCGAGGCUCAACCUCGAGACGCCGAUGGAAACCGUCUGGCUAGAGUCCGGAAGAGGAGAGUGGAAUUCCUGGUGUAGCGGUGAAAUGCGCAGAUAUCAGGAAGAACACCCGUGGCUAAGGCGGCUCUCUAGGACGGUACUGACGCUGAGACGCGAAAGCGUGGGGAGCGAACAGG
This 253-nucleotide ribosomal RNA is filed under the name uncultured bacterium. RNAcentral's name for it is "partial 16S ribosomal RNA". It matches the Rfam family "Bacterial small subunit ribosomal RNA", at positions 524 to 776 of the family's 1533-position model. The record is from RNAcentral.